RNAcentral lists this long non-coding RNA (356 nucleotides) under Vulpes vulpes (red fox). RNAcentral's name for it is "lncRNA (ENSVVUG00000006855.1)". The record is from RNAcentral. Lineage: Eukaryota; Metazoa; Chordata; Mammalia; Carnivora; Canidae.
GAUUAUAAAGCUUCAGUAUACCUAUUUAUUCUUUUUCUUUUCUUCACAGAGUGUAUAUUGGGCCAUGAUUUAUUUUUAUACUUUUAUAUUAAUUACAGACAUGUACCAUUUAACAAAAGUGGGAAAAUAAUAUUCAACUGACAGGCAGGAAAAAGCUACACUAGACACACAAAUGAAGCUAUAUGUGAAAUAAAAAAAGCACAAUGAGUUUAUCUCAACUUACCAAGAAAAAUGAAUCUCUGGAGAAUUGGCAUUAAAUCCUGUGGUUUGGCUUGUCUCCGCUUUGAUGGAUGUCCUAUUGCCUAUGUUCCCUUAGUAAAAGCAAUCGAUGUCUUCUGAGGUGAACAUGACAUGUG